Long non-coding RNA from Pezoporus flaviventris, 475 nucleotides. RefSeq lists it as uncharacterized. The record is from RefSeq and is a predicted model, not a curated record. NCBI's taxonomy places the organism in Eukaryota, Metazoa, Chordata, Aves, Psittaciformes, Psittacidae. The transcript is spliced from 3 exons.
GCCACCGGAGCGGGGCAGCCUGUCUGCAGUGCCUGAGGCAUCUCCAGCCGCAGCGGGGCUCCAGUCUCAGCCUGGGGGACCAGGCGUCACUGACCCUUUUGAUCCCUACUCAGGUGCUCAGCUGCCCCAGGGAGCCACCGCUGGAGCCGAGGCCAUGCCCCACUGGAGCAGAAGUGAUUGCAGCCAGUCCCCAGAUGGAGGAGUCCCUGCAGAGCUCAGUCCCUCCUUGCAGAAGACAUUGUAGUCAAAGACCUAAUGAUCUUGAACAGGCUUCCUCCCAGGAGAAGGAACCUGAACAUCCUAGGGUGCUUUGAAGGUGUACCAGCCCUAGCCUAGAUAAAAAAACUGGGAGUAACUGGAAACACCACCACACUGGCCAGACCAACAGUGUCUUCUGCCUGGAGAACCUACAAACAGGAUCAACAGCAUCUAGUGAUGUAGCCGUCAACUGUGGCAUAAUCAGGCUCACCUGAAA